AGAUUGAACGCUGGCGGCAUGCUUUACACAUGCAAGUCGAACGGUAACAGGCCGCAAGGUGCUGACGAGUGGCGAACGGGUGAGUAAUGCAUCGGAACGUGCCCAGUCGUGGGGGAUAACGCAGCGAAAGCUGUGCUAAUACCGCAUACGAUCUAUGGAUGAAAGCGGGGGACCGAAAGGCCUCGCGCGAUUGGAGCGGCCGAUGUCAGAUUAGCGUAGUUGGUGGGGUAAAGGCCCACCAAGGCGACGAUCUGUAGCUGGUCUGAGAGGACGACCAGCCACACUGGAACUGAGACACGGUCCAGACU
Molecule: ribosomal RNA, 308 nt
Filed under: uncultured soil bacterium
Lineage: Bacteria
Description: bacterial SSU rRNA
Rfam family: Bacterial small subunit ribosomal RNA
Source: RNAcentral